AUUUUAUCCUUUAUUCAUUUUUAGAUAAUUUCAUCUUAAAGGAGAUUUGGUGACUUAAAAGGGACAGUAUUCAAGAGUUAGAGUUUAAUUGUAAUCUGGUUUACAUUUCAAAUACAGAAUCAUCAAAUUUCAAUAUCUUUUGCUGUCCUUGAGAGAGAGAAUGUAUUUGGUUAAGUGUUUUUAUUUAAGGUAAGACUAAGGUAGCUGACAGGUGCUCAUGCGGGAGGAAGAACAAUUCUCCUUAUUUCAGUUCUUCAGAUGCUGGUAGCCUCAUUAAGAUAAUAAAAUUUGUAUUAUGCCUUUUUCUUUUUCUAGCUUUGUACUAGUUAUCUGUAACGGCAUAAAAAUUACCCCCAAAUUUAGCACUUAAACAAACAUCUUGGUUUGUCUCUCACAAGGCUGCAAUCAAGGUGUUGGCUGCAGUCAUCUCAAGAGUUCCACUGGGGUGGAUCCCCUUCCAAACUCAUGUCUCGUUGGCAGGAUUCAGUUGGAGGCUAUUGGAAUGAGGGCCUCAGUUCCAUGUUAGCUGUUGGCUGGAAAGUUCUGCUUCUCGUCACAUGGGCCUUUCCAAAGAACACCUCACCUUCCGAGCAGGAAAGCACAAAAGUAAGAGAGGGCAAGGAGACAGAAGCCAGAGACUUUCUGCCACCAAACCUCACGAGUGCUCUCUCCCUUCCUGCUUCUGUUCUACUCCUCAGAAGCAAGCCACUAAGUCCAGCUCACACCCAAGGACAGGAGGUUACACAAGAGUGCACACCAGCGGGCAGGUUUCACUGGGAACCAUCUCAGAAGCUUCCUACCACUAGUUUUGUUGUUUCAGAUGAAAAGCUACUGACUGAGGAAGUGACUGCCUCUUCCUACACACAUGGACUUGCAGGCUGCAGGACUACACAUCGGCACCCGCUGCACAUUUCCUAUCUGUUCCUUGUGCUCAUUCUCAAAGCGGAACUUUCCUAUGAGGUGUACACAUGACAGUGAUAAAAUAACUCAAGGGUACAGAAAGAACUCCCUGACUAUUCACAUAAUUUUUUGGAUUGAAAUUUGUGAAUACUUCACUACACCACAACUUAAUAGGACCAAUAUUAUCAGUGGAAGAAUAAAACAAGAUUUGGAAAGCAUGGCUGAAUACCUAGAUUUCUGAUGGAAAUUCCUUUAGCAAUCAACAACUACUCAAAAUGUUUCAACAUGCUUGUAAUCCCAGCUCUUUGGGAGGCCAAGGCAGGAUUGCUUGAGCCCAGGAGUUUGAAACCAGCCUGGGUAACGUAGUGAGACUCCAUUUCUUAAAAUAAAAAACAAAAAAACAAAAAAAUCAGCUGGGCCAGGAGCAGUGGCUCACUCCUGUAAUCCCAGCAUUUUGGGAGGCCUAGGCGGGCAGACUGCUUGAGCUCAGGAGUUCCAGACCAGCCUGGCAACACUGCCAAACCCUGUCUCUACAAAAAUAAUUUUAAAAAGUUAGCCUGUGGUGGUGCGUGCCUGUAGUCUCAGCUACUAGGCAGGCUAAGGCAGGAAGAUCUCCUGAGCCCUAGAGGUUGAGGUUGUAGUGAGCUGAGAUUGUGCCACUGCACUCCAGCCUGGGUUACAAAGCAAGACUCUGCCUCAAAAGAAAAAAAGUUUCAAUAAAAUAUGUACUGGCUCAGAGGCCUAAAUGGCAUCAGAUAUUGUGGAGUAUGACAAAGGUUGGAGGGUAAGAGGACUUUUAAAUAACACUUGUUUCUCAAUCCUAAAUAACACAAAGUAAAAUUGCUCUGUAACUAUUUACAGAGACAGACCAGUGGUAACUACCUUCUUUCUUCUUCCUUUGUGCCCUGAUCUGUGCCUGAUGCUUGUGAAACUCAGAGGAGUUUCUGCCUUCUUUUGCUCCCUACUCCGUGUUCACCUAUCUUGAGGUCUACUCAUCCAUGUUUCUAAGCUGUGCUAUGGCUGGGGCACUGUGCACCCUGAAAAGACAGCUUGGCUUUCCAGCCCACCCCGUGCCAGUCCUCACUGCCUCUUCAGUGACCGGAGGCAGCAGACUGGAACCUGCAGGCAACCCGGGACAAAACGCAUUUUUUUUUUUAGUUCAUCUUCACUCAAAGAUUAAUUUGAAAACAUAAAAUGGUUCUAAGUGUAAUAAAAUAAGGUUGCUCUUAUUAUCAUAACUAGGAUUACUUUAUUUUGGAAGCUAGUAGAUAGGAAAUGCCAACUUUGCCCUGGAAGGAAAUACAGAUUCUGUGGGCAUAAGUGAUCUAAAUUCUUUGCCACUUCUAGACUUUAGAAAUUGAGGCAAGCAAGGAAAUCAGAACAAGUUUUUAAUUCUAGUUCAAGAGUCAAAAUUCUUUUCUGUAAAAUGCCAAAUCUAGGAUUAAGCAUAUUCUCAUAUGGCCUGGAAGUUAAUCUCUAAUAAAAAUCUACUGCUUAAAAAAAAUUUACACUAGACAGUGCAUACUAAACAUGCACCUAGUCAUUAGCUUUUUAGGCUUUUGUAGUAAUUAAACCAAUUGCAAAAAUACAUUUUAAAAAAGUUAAUACAGUAAAGCAAAUUCAGAGUUUUGAAUUAUUAGCAGAGGUAUAUAAAACAUAAGUGAUUUUGCAGAAAGCUAAAAAAGAUAUCCAAGAUAAUCUUGUCAUUUAUAGUAGCUUGAGCUCCAAUUGUUCUCCAAAACUCAAGAGAUAUGGCACACAAAUGUUUAAUUUCUAGAAUACACGUCUCCUUUAGAUUUAAAAAAGAUCGGAAAAGCAAGAACACAAGAGCUCUUCCUGCCUAGUAUCAAGCCUGUAUACUGUUAACAAACAUUGCUCAGUAAGAAUUCACAGGUGCCAAGGAAUCAUGGCAGCAAAACUGUAGAACAGUGUUACAUACAUUUAAAUGGGAAACAUAAUGCAUUGAAAAAAUUAUAGAAUUACAUUUCAAUUCAGAAUGACUGACAAGCUUACAUGGAACAUCUGGGCUGCUGUUUAGGAGUGCUUGACUUUUAAAACCCACAGCUGACAAAAGCAAGAGGCAGCAAAAAAAGAAAAGAGUACUGGGGUUCUUGGGACCCUGGGGCUGACUUCACUUCUGUGGGCUUCAGUCUUCUCAUUAAUACACUUGGGCCAGAUAGUCUUUCUUGGAUCUUUAAAACCACCAAAAACUCAAUGAUCCUUCUGGGUCUAAUCAGUGUGGUUCAAGGCAUAUUAUUUUUAAUUCUUGCAAUAAAGUGACAUGAACAAUACAUAGCAGACCCCAUUUUGCAAUAAGAGCAUAAUCUCCUUUGAGAAUUAUUCUUGAAAUCACAACCAGGCUUCUCCCGUCCCCUCUCAUCAGUGAACACACUCCUGAAACAGAGAAGCAUUCUUCUCAUCAGACAUUGGCAGAACCAUACAAAUGUUCAGAGGCAGACUUUCAGGAGGUUCUUUUAAAGUCUAACAAUUCUAUGAAGCAUAGCAAAGACACUGACAUAACCGCUGUCGGGUUAAAGAAGUCUUUGAAAUCUUUCGUGAUGUGAAAUGUGAACAUUCUCUGCUUUUUGUUAAACCUUUAAACUCUCCCCACACACAAAAGAAUAUCACACCUUAUUCCUACA
This 3542-nucleotide long non-coding RNA is filed under the name Macaca fascicularis (crab-eating macaque). RNAcentral describes it as "lncRNA (ENSMFAG00000048621.1)". Lineage: Eukaryota; Metazoa; Chordata; Mammalia; Primates; Cercopithecidae. The record is from RNAcentral.